UGACUCUCAAAGAUAAGCAGUGCUUUUCCUGUGAGUGGGAGGUUUUGGUGGAUGGGCAGUCUUCCAAGACUGAAGACCAUGAUUCUCUACUUCAAAAUGUACCAUCUUCCAUGAAUAAAUUCUAAAAGAGCCUAGCUCUCCAGGCAACAAGGAAACAAAAGGAGAAUGGCAGAGAGCAAACUCUCCUCCCUGUUGAUGGAUGAUAAUGUGUGAAAAUGACCCAAACCCUUGCGAAGAAAGAUAGCAUGAAAUUCAAGAUGCAUUGUGAUGAAGAGCAACCAGCAUGGAAAUCUUCCGCAAUCAUUCUUCACAGGCUCAUGUCUGUCAAGUCUGCCUCUGAUAUUCUCAGUAUCUCACACCUGCAGUGAGUACAGAAAGGGGAACAGGGACAUACCCACGGCUACACCCUCUCACUCUAUUCACGAGAUGGUUCUUGAAACACAGUCGGGUUCUUGUGAUGGGGAAACAAUAAAAAUUGAAAUCACAUAAGUAACCCCCACACCUUGCACACAGCUGUAGGAGUUAAUUCGGAAGUGAGAGGGGGACUUGAGGGUCCCUCAUUACCUCAAGGAGCUGCCGUUUCCCCGAGGCUUUCAUCCUGAUGGUGGACAUGCGCUCGGCCAGGACAGUGAGCGUGGACUGC
Oryctolagus cuniculus (rabbit) is the source of this 643-nucleotide non-coding RNA. NCBI's taxonomy places the organism in Eukaryota, Metazoa, Chordata, Mammalia, Lagomorpha, Leporidae. The record is from RefSeq and is a predicted model, not a curated record.